RNAcentral lists this ribosomal RNA (518 nucleotides) under Clostridioides difficile. RNAcentral's name for it is "bacterial SSU rRNA". It matches the Rfam family "Bacterial small subunit ribosomal RNA", at positions 1021 to 1533 of the family's 1533-position model. The record is from RNAcentral. Lineage: Bacteria; Bacillati; Bacillota; Clostridia; Peptostreptococcales; Peptostreptococcaceae.
GGGGACAUUGGUGACAGGUGGUGCAUGGUUGUCGUCAGCUCGUGUCGUGAGAUGUUGGGUUAAGUCCCGCAACGAGCGCAACCCUUGUCUUUAGUUGCCAUCAUUAAGUUGGGCACUCUAGAGAGACUGCCAGGGAUAACCUGGAGGAAGGUGGGGAUGACGUCAAAUCAUCAUGCCCCUUAUGCUUAGGGCUACACACGUGCUACAAUGGGUAGUACAGAGGGUUGCCAAGCCGUAAGGUGGAGCUAAUCCCUUAAAGCUACUCUCAGUUCGGAUUGUAGGCUGAAACUCGCCUACAUGAAGCUGGAGUUACUAGUAAUCGCAGAUCAGAAUGCUGCGGUGAAUGCGUUCCCGGGUCUUGUACACACCGCCCGUCACACCACGGGAGUUGGAGACGCCCGAAGCCGAUUAUCUAACCUUUUGGAAGAAGUCGUCGAAGGUGGAAUCAAUAACUGGGGUGAAGUCGUAACAAGGUAGCCGUAUCGGAAGGUGCGGCUGGAUCACCUCCUUUCUAAGGA